This is an unclassified non-coding RNA of Otolemur garnettii (small-eared galago), 107 nucleotides long. It matches the Rfam family "Y RNA". Rfam says of the family: Y RNAs are components of the Ro ribonucleoprotein particle (Ro RNP), in association with Ro60 and La proteins. The Y RNAs and Ro60 and La proteins are well conserved, but the function of the Ro RNP is not known. NCBI's taxonomy places the organism in Eukaryota, Metazoa, Chordata, Mammalia, Primates, Galagidae. The record is from Ensembl.
GGCUGGCCUGAGUGCAGUGGUGUUUAUAACUAAUUGAUCACAACCUUUUUCACAACCAAAUUCCUUUGUUCCUCUCCACUCUCACUGCUUCACUUGACUAGCCUACC